AAAAAAAUUAUCAAACAGUGAUACCAAAACACAAGUAUGCUUCGGAUACAUGUAGUAUAGGAAUAGGAUGACACAUUGAAAGCAACUAGAUAAAAAAAUUUGACAGGAGCAAAGAUUCCCAACACUGAACCAAACACUAUCAAAAUACAUUAAAAAAACAAAAUAAUCUUACAAAGAUUUUAUCUGUGCCUGAAUGGCGGAUAUACCCCUGGCUACCAGCCCAAGGUCCAAUCAUAAUAAAUGGUAU
Molecule: long non-coding RNA, 247 nt
Filed under: Lathyrus oleraceus (garden pea)
Lineage: Eukaryota; Viridiplantae; Streptophyta; Magnoliopsida; Fabales; Fabaceae
Description: Pisum sativum (pea) long non-coding RNA (PSAT_LNC000158)
Source: RNAcentral